GACGAACGCUGGCGGCGUGCUUAACACAUGCAAGUCGAACGGUGAUGCUCCAGCUUGCUGGAGUGGAUCAGUGGCGAACGGGUGAGUAACACGUGAGCAACCUGCCCCAGACUCUGGAAUAAGCGCUGGAAACGGCGUCUAAUACUGGAUACGAAACUGGCCCGCAUGGGCAUGGUUUGGAAAGUUUUUCGGUUUGGGAUGGGCUCGCGGCCUAUCAGCUUGUUGGUGAGGUAAUGGCUCACCAAGGCGACGACGGGUAGCCGGCCUGAGAGGGCGACCGGCCACACUGGGACUGAGACACGGCCCAGACUCCUACGGGAGGCAGCAGUGGGGAAUAUUGCACAAUGGGCGAAAGUCUGAUGCAGCGACGCCGCGUGAGGGAUGACGGCCUUCGGGUUGUAAACCUCUUUCAGCAGGGAAGAAGCGAAAGUGACGGUACCUGCAGAAGAAGCACCGGCUAACUACGUG
Molecule: ribosomal RNA, 468 nt
Filed under: uncultured bacterium
Lineage: Bacteria
Description: partial 16S ribosomal RNA
Rfam family: Bacterial small subunit ribosomal RNA
Source: RNAcentral